UCGUAGCCAGCAUAUCGGGCGAAUUUCCGUCUCAACGCAAAACAAUCUCUCAUGCAACUCUUCGUGAUGAAAUGAUUCGGUUCUUGCUAAAGGAAAAUUUGCCGCUGCACAAAAUAGAGAGUCCACAUUUUAAGCGAUUAAUUCUGAAGUGUUCUGGGAUAGCUGAUGGCGCCAGAAGCAGCAUUCCGAAGAAAAAGGCUUUGCGGGACAGUAGAGCAUUGUUUAGUCGUCGUGCGGCUGGUCAUCGCGUAAAGGCAAUCUACGAAGCACACAUUUCCGAUGUGAAAAGGCAACUUAGAAAUGUUUCAUAUUUAGCUGCCACGUGUGAUGUUUGGACGUGUAA
Molecule: long non-coding RNA, 343 nt
Organism: Sitodiplosis mosellana (orange wheat blossom midge)
Lineage: Eukaryota; Metazoa; Arthropoda; Insecta; Diptera; Cecidomyiidae
Exons: 3
Source: RefSeq, a predicted model, not a curated record